GCAUAACGCGAAGAACCUUACCUACCCUUGACAUGUCUGGAAUGCCGAAGAGAUUUGGCAGUGCUCGCAAGAGAACCGGAACACAGGUGCUGCAUGGCUGUCGUCAGCUCGUGUCGUGAGAUGUUGGGUUAAGUCCCGCAACGAGCGCAACCCUUGCCAUUAGUUGCUACGAAAGGGCACUCUAAUGGGACUGCCGGUGACAAACCGGAGGAAGGUGGGGAUGACGUCAAGUCCUCAUGGCCCUUAUAGGUGGGGCUACACACGUCAUACAAUGGCUGGUACAAAGGGUUGCCAACCCGCGAGGGGGAGCUAAUCCCAUAAAGCCAGUCGUAGUCCGGAUCGCAGUCUGCAACUCGACUGCGUGAAGUCGGAAUCGCUAGUAAUCGUGGAUCAGAAUGUCACGGUGAAUACGUUCCCGGGUCUUGUACACACCG
Molecule: ribosomal RNA, 434 nt
Filed under: uncultured bacterium
Lineage: Bacteria
Description: bacterial SSU rRNA
Rfam family: Bacterial small subunit ribosomal RNA
Source: RNAcentral